This is a long non-coding RNA of Zingiber officinale, 749 nucleotides long. RefSeq lists it as uncharacterized. The record is from RefSeq and is a predicted model, not a curated record. The transcript is spliced from 4 exons. Lineage: Eukaryota; Viridiplantae; Streptophyta; Magnoliopsida; Zingiberales; Zingiberaceae.
UAUCUUCCCAAACGCCGUUUCCCCCAAACUCGAAGCCGAUCCUUCCUCCUCUCCUUCCUUCCCCGACCUCCCUUCCUUCUCCGAUCUCCCUCGCAGACGAGCGACGAUCGGCGAUUCCUCCUUCCCUUCUCGGUGUCGCCGGCGCAAAGCAACCACCGAAGCUUUAGGAGGGAGCUAGUUGCUGAUCCUCCGUCUUCUCCCUCUCGAUUUCUCUCUCCCGAACGAUCCGACGCGACCCCGACGUCGAUGUUUCCUCGACAACCUCGGCCUCACUGCGUCGCCUGAGGAUUGUCGUCCGAAUCUUGAAGGUGCUGGCGCUGUCCAAGCCUUCCCUGGUGGAGUGAUCUCCUUCUCGGCCAUUGUUGCGCUCGAUUUGGUGGGAUCUGAUCUAGGGCACAGCGAGCUCCACACUUGCUGGAUCAGAUCGGAACAACACCAUUGGAGGCAAUCGAUCAAGGAGGAGGCAUUGGAUUAGCAUAUUGGUGGAUUUUCUUCUAUGUCGAUCACUACUCUCUUUCCAGCUGCUGUUUAGGUUUUGGCUAAAGGAUUGGGGUCUAUUAAGGGUUUUUGUAGUUCCUGGACAGUGGGUAUCCUUUAUAGCUUCUUGGCAGUGAGUUGUAGGGUUGCCGAGCUACUGGAAUUGCUGUCAUACUUCAAGGUUAGUGCUUUUCUAGUGUUGUACUUGGGUAUCCUAUUCGUAUGAUGCUAAAUUGGAGUUUCUAUGGGUUGUGAGACUUUGUUCUGCUUAG